GAGGGGCAGCGGGGUUGUAGCAAUACAACUGCCGGCGACCGGCGCACGGGUGAGUAACACGUAUGUAACCUGCCCUCUGCAAGGGGAUAAGCGGAAGAAAUUCCGUCUAAUACCGCAUAAUACAAUUUGGAGACAUCUCCGGGUUGUCAAAGGAGUGAUCCGGCAGAGGAUGGACAUGCGGCGCAUUAGCUAGUCGGCGGGGUAACGGCCCACCGAGGCUACGAUGCGUAGGGGUUCUGAGAGGAAGGUCCCCCACACUGGUACUGAGACACGGACCAGACUCCUACGGGAGGCAGCAGUGAGGAAUAUUGGUCAAUGGGCGGAAGCCUGAACCAGCCAAGUCGCGUGAGGGAAGACGGUCCUAUGGAUUGUAAACCUCUUUUGCAGGGGAGCAAGGCGCGGUACGUGUACCGCGAAGGAGAGUACCCUGAGAAAAAGCAUCGGCUAACUCCGUGCCAGCAGCCGCGGUAAUACGGAGGAUGCGAGCGUUAUCCGGAUUUAUUGGGUUUAAAGGGUGCGCAGGCGGACUGUUAAGUCAGCGGUAAAAUGUCGGUGCUCAACACCGGCCGGCCGUUGAAACUGGCAGCCUUGAGUGAGCGAGAAGUAUGCGGAAUGCGUGGUGUAGCGGUGAAAUGCAUAGAUAUCACGCAGAACUCCGAUUGCGAAGGCAGCAUACCGGCGCUCAACUGACGCUCAGGCACGAAAGCGUGGGUAUCCUUCAAGGGUAGAUACCCUGGUAGUCCACGCAGUAAAC
Molecule: ribosomal RNA, 754 nt
Filed under: uncultured bacterium
Lineage: Bacteria
Description: bacterial SSU rRNA
Rfam family: Bacterial small subunit ribosomal RNA
Source: RNAcentral